This 700-nucleotide ribosomal RNA is filed under the name uncultured bacterium. RNAcentral's name for it is "bacterial SSU rRNA". It matches the Rfam family "Bacterial small subunit ribosomal RNA", at positions 94 to 828 of the family's 1533-position model. The record is from RNAcentral.
AGUGGCGGACGGGUGAGUAACGCGUAAGAAUCUAACUUCAGGACGGGGACAACAGUUGGAAACGACUGCUAAUACCCGAUGUGCCGCAAGGUGAAACCUAAUUGGCCUGGAGAAGAGCUUGCGUCUGAUUAGCUAGUUGGUGGGGUAAAGGCCUACCAAGGCGACGAUCAGUAGCUGGUCUGAGAGGAUGAGCAGCCACACUGGGACUGAGACACGGCCCAGACUCCUACGGGAGGCAGCAGUGGGGAAUUUUCCGCAAUGGGCGAAAGCCUGACGGAGCAACGCCGCGUGAGGGAGGAAGGUCUUUGGAUUGUAAACCUCUUUUCUCAAGGAAGAAGUUCUGACGGUACUUGAGGAAUCAGCCUCGGCUAACUCCGUGCCAGCAGCCGCGGUAAUACGGGGGAGGCAAGCGUUAUCCGGAAUUAUUGGGCGUAAAGCGUCCGCAGGUGGUCAGCCAAGUCUGCCGUCAAAUCAGGUUGCUUAACGACCUAAAGGCGGUGGAAACUGGCAGACUAGAGAGCAGUAGGGGUAGCAGGAAUUCCCAGUGUAGCGGUGAAAUGCGUAGAGAUUGGGAAGAACAUCGGUGGCGAAAGCGUGCUACUGGGCUGUAUCUGACACUCAGGGACGAAAGCUAGGGGAGCGAAAGGGAUUAGAUACCCCUGUAGUCCUAGCCGUAAACGAUGGAUACUAGGCGUGGCUU